GAUUGUAAAUCAGUUGCUAAUUUUUGCAAUCGAUUACAAAUCGAUUGACAACUCUUGAGCUAAUUAAAAUAAUUUUUUAAUUUAGUAAUCAAUUCCCUUAAUUUAUUGCUAUUAGUAAUCAAUUUUUUAAUCGGCUGUAACCGAUUUUAAAAUUGAUUGCUUAUCAUAUAUUUAAAAUUUUUCUAAUAUCGAUUAGCAAUCAAUUACAAAUCGGUUACUAUUAGUAGUCAAUUUUUGAAUCAGUUGCUAUUUUUUUUAAUUAAUAAUUUUAUUAAAAAAUUAAAAUCACAAAUCAAU
This 297-nucleotide unclassified non-coding RNA is filed under the name Hevea brasiliensis (rubber tree). The record is from RNAcentral. Lineage: Eukaryota; Viridiplantae; Streptophyta; Magnoliopsida; Malpighiales; Euphorbiaceae.